Long non-coding RNA from Chelonia mydas (Green sea turtle), 326 nucleotides. RefSeq lists it as uncharacterized. NCBI's taxonomy places the organism in Eukaryota, Metazoa, Chordata, Testudines, Cheloniidae. The record is from RefSeq and is a predicted model, not a curated record. The transcript has 3 exons.
GGAAGCCUGCCGCUGUACCACUCGAGAGCCACACUCAGCUUUGAUCCGACUGUUUUGAAUACAGCCCAACAUACAAAAUGUUCAUUUUGCAUAUAGUCUUUGGAGGACUCUUCUUGGGAUUUCCACUGUGGGAUUAUAACACAGAAGUCAUGAGAUGGUGAAAAAAAGAAAAGAAAGGAGAUUGUUCAUGCUCAAGAUUGAAUUUAUACCUGGAGUCCCAUCCCCAACAAAAGUGAUUUCUGAGAGAAAGAGAGCUGGUGAGAAAAUGUGUGCUGAGAAUGGCCAUGCCUUAGGGAGCAGAGCUGCUACUGCUCAGCCACUGACGG